GAGGAAAGCGGGCGGCGUGCCUAAUACAUGCAAGUCGAGCGAACAGACGAGGAGCUUGCUCCUCUGACGUUAGCGGCGGACGGGUGAGUAACACGUGGAUAACCUACCUAUAAGACUGGGAUAACUUCGGGAAACCGGAGCUAAUACCGGAUAACAUGUUGAACCGCAUGGUUCAACAGUGAAAGACGGUCUUGCUGUCACUUAUAGAUGGAUCCGCGCCGCAUUAGCUAGUUGGUAAGGUAACGGCUUACCAAGGCAACGAUGCGUAGCCGACCUGAGAGGGUGAUCGGCCACACUGGAACUGAGACACGGUCCAGACUCCUACGGGAGGCAGCAGUAGGGAAUCUUCCGCAAUGGGCGAAAGCCUGACGGAGCAACGCCGCGUGAGUGAAGAAGGUCUUCGGAUCGUAAAACUCUGUUAUUAGGGAAGAACAAAUGUGUAAGUAACUAUGCACGUCUUGACGGUACCUAAUCAGAAAGCCACGGCUAACUACGUG
This 497-nucleotide ribosomal RNA is filed under the name uncultured bacterium. Its description in RNAcentral is "partial 16S ribosomal RNA". It matches the Rfam family "Bacterial small subunit ribosomal RNA", at positions 28 to 507 of the family's 1533-position model. The record is from RNAcentral.